UUCCCUUUCUACAUUGUCAAUGGU
Molecule: non-coding RNA, 24 nt
Filed under: Arabidopsis thaliana (thale cress)
Lineage: Eukaryota; Viridiplantae; Streptophyta; Magnoliopsida; Brassicales; Brassicaceae
Source: RNAcentral